CCUCCUUUCCUCCCUCCUUUCCUCCCCCUCCCUCCUUUCCUCCCUCCUUUCUACCUACACCUUGUUUACAAAUUAACCUGAUCAGAGGUGUUUGUUACAUAUCUCAGUUUUGUAUUUAUAAGAAGAAGAAAAAAAUAUUCAGAAAUGCAACCCAUGAAAAAGGCAGGUUGGCAUCUGCAGGUUGUGGGAUUUAGCCCCAUCCUGCAGAUUCUGGGGGUUAAGUCCCAUCCUGUUGGCAGGUUGUGGGAUUUAGCCCCAUCCUGCAGGUUCUGGGGGUUAAGUCCCCAGUCCUGUAGGCAGGUUGUGGGAUUUAGCACCAUCCUGCAGAUUCUGGGGGUUAAGUCCCAUCCAGUCUGCAGGUUGUGGGAUUUAGCACCAUCCUGCAGGUUCUGGGGGUUAAGUCCCAUCCAGUCUGCAGGUUGUGGGAUUUAGCACCAUCCUGCAGAUUCUGGGGGUUAAGUCCCAUCCAGUCUGCAGGUUGUGGGAUUUAGCACCAUCCUGCAGGUUCUGGGGUUAAGUCCCAUCCAGUCUGCAGGUUGUGGGGUUUAGCCCCAUCCUGCAGGUUCUGGGGGUUAAGACCCUGCCCUGUGUUUGCUGAACCAUCAGUGGGCAUGGCAACACGUAUCCUGGCUACACCACUGCGUGUCUCUGUCCCUACCCUCUACAUCCUCUGCUUCCAUAGGUGUUGUGAUGAGAUAGCCCCUCCCCUGUCCUUGUAUGUGCAUGCACGAUGGUUCUUCCACUUAACAAUAACAAUCAAUAAAGUUUGUCAAGAUAA
Oncorhynchus keta (chum salmon) is the source of this 778-nucleotide long non-coding RNA. RefSeq lists it as uncharacterized. The record is from RefSeq and is a predicted model, not a curated record. NCBI's taxonomy places the organism in Eukaryota, Metazoa, Chordata, Actinopteri, Salmoniformes, Salmonidae. The transcript is spliced from 3 exons.